CCCCACGGGGCGCAGCAGGCGCGAAAACUAUGCAAUGCGGGAAACCGUGACAGGGGAACUCCGAGUGCCCGUAUAAUCGGGCUGUCCAUCAGUUAGGUAACGGGAAGAGUAGGACCGGUA
RNAcentral lists this ribosomal RNA (120 nucleotides) under uncultured archaeon. RNAcentral describes it as "partial 16S ribosomal RNA". It matches the Rfam family "Archaeal small subunit ribosomal RNA", at positions 321 to 457 of the family's 1478-position model. The record is from RNAcentral.